CUCCGCCCCGCCCAAGGCCCCGCCCACCGCGCUGACGCCUGCCCCACUGCGGCCGCCUGCGAGGUAAGCACGCGCUUCUCGGCCUCUAAACUUCCAAACAGGCCCCUCCACACAGCCCCUCAGGGUGCUGAAGGAGUUACCGUAAUCAGACUCGUUAUCAGAAACAUUUUUUUUAAAAGCUCAUGAACGCUCCAAGGCCUCACCCACAGUUAAUCCAACUUUAAUGGCCUUAUCUUACCAGCUCCGGCCUGGCCUCCGAGUCCAGCCUCCAUCAUUUCCGGGGGAGGGCGGGACUUCCUGUCUGGGGAGGAGCCAAUUGGGAACGGGUUCUGCUGCCUGUGGACCCGAUUGGCUGAAUGCUUUUCAAAGUCCCAGAGAAAGCACAAUGUUUGAGUCCAAAUUGUUCAUAGAGAUCUGAAGGAGAAAAUUUGCCCUUGAGUCACCAUAGCCUUCGCAAAGGCCAGUGACCCUACUGGGGUUUGCUUGGGAAGCUCUUGACUGUUGGUCCUCAGAAGGGAUCACGGACACAGGUUUGCCGAGGAAUCUCCAUAUCCGUGAAUAUUGGUAUCUCUCCCAACUCCAUUUUGACUCUAUCUUACAUCUUCUUGCUUGGUAAGCUGGCUUUUUCCUGACUUCUACCCUUGACUUUCUUCUGGGUCCAGCGGAGACUCUGGGUCCUGGUUUGGGUCCAUCCUUGACCGUCUCCUCAGGUCUCUCUGGUUUUGCUGCUUUCCCUAGUGGUUGACAACCAAGUUCAUGGUUUUCUAGGGCACCCGAGUUGCCUCUCUAGAUAGCUUUUUGUUGCCCUCACCUAACACAACUCCAUAGUUAUCAAAGGCACCUUACUGGGACCUGCUUCUGAGAUCACCACUUCAGGGUGUGACAAGUGAUGUCAUCACUUUCAAUUUCUCAAGCACUUGAAUUAACUUGUCACCUUUAUUCCCCUUCUCUCACUCUAGGACAACCCUCAAAUCCAUUCAAUCCUAAAUUACUGUAGCUUUGCAAAGCUACAUACAUGCAUCUUUUCUCUUAUUAUUUAUACCAGUAGAAUAAUAAUGUCACUAACGACAAUAACAACUGCUAACAUUUGUCGAGAACCUAUGGUGUGCUAUCCAUUCUGGCAAGAC
Molecule: long non-coding RNA, 1127 nt
Filed under: Vulpes vulpes (red fox)
Lineage: Eukaryota; Metazoa; Chordata; Mammalia; Carnivora; Canidae
Description: lncRNA (ENSVVUG00000018534.1)
Source: RNAcentral